This 24-nucleotide non-coding RNA is filed under the name Cricetulus griseus (Chinese hamster). Lineage: Eukaryota; Metazoa; Chordata; Mammalia; Rodentia; Cricetidae. The record is from RNAcentral.
GAAUGGGCUUCGGAGUGAAUGUGG